GGCGCGCGCCGCGCCCAGCCUUUCCUCCCGCGCGGCGGCGGCGGCGCCAGCGGCUGUCUGCAGUCUUUCUUUCGGAGUGCUAUGGUCGGGUAGGUUGCUGUCCGCAGCAGAGGCCCGUGCCGAGCCGGCGCAGGAAACUACACCACAUUUACCAGAUUUUAUACGGUCAGAAAUCUAUUGAAAGCAAAAGAUAAUUUGAGAGGGACUUGGAUCAAGAAUGGAUUGUCUUAACUAUACAACGGCAUCUGAUUUAGCUGUGGAAACUGAGAAUCAAAGUGACAGCUCUUCCUCUGGUAGCAGCUUAUUUAAAACUCAGUGUGUUCCUGUCCCACCUAAACGGAGGCAAAGAAACUCUAUUAGAAAAUUUGUUCACAUACCCAAAAGUACUCAGGCAACAGAGACAUCUAGUGACUCAUCUAUAGAGCCAAGACCACUGACUUUAAAGGCUAUUUUUGAAAGAUUCAAAAAUAAGAAACAUAAACGUAAAAAGAAGAAAUACAAGCCAACGGGAAGAUCAGUGGGAAGACCAAAAGGAAGGAGAACCACUAGAUACUCACAAAUUACUGAGAAACAAUUUAAAGACAAAAGACCUGGUUUCCCAUUUUUAGAAUCAGAAAAUGGAAGAAAACCAUUACCUUGGAGAAAAAUUUUAACCUUUGAGCAAGCAGUGGCAAGAGGAUUUUUUAACUACCUUGAAAAACUGAAGUAUGAAUACUACCUCAAGGAAUCCUUGAAACAGAUGAAUGUUGCUGAAGAUUUAGAAAAAGACGACCUUGAUAGUCGAAGAUACAGAUACUUGGAUGAUGAUGGAUCUCUCUCUCCUAUUGAAGAGUCAGCAGCAGAGGAGGAGACUGCAGCAAACCUUGAACAUGAUGAAUGUGAUAUUAAGUUGGUGGAGAAUAGUUAUUUCAUAAUAAGCUCUGAAUUUCCAAAGAAGAAGAAUGUAUAUUUGGAUCAAGAGGAAUAUACUGAAGAAACUGCUUUGCUUAGAAAGAGAAUAUCAAAAUCUAAACACUGGACAGAGGACAAAAUGGCCUGAAGAGAGAUAGGAUUAUAAGUACCAGACAAGGCUUUUAUCUUCGGAAUACAGUGUCUGGAUUUUGCAAAGAUAUGUCUAAUGCUUUAGGUAUUGGCACAUCCCAAUGAUCUCUGUCAAGUUUUAGGGUGUGAUAACUUGGGAAUUAAUAUGAUUUGAACUUGGUAAGUUUUUAGAGAAACUAGACAGAUCCCAUCUCGUGACCCUAAACAGGAUCCUAUAGUAAACUGCUUGAGGAAAUUGGAUCUGGAAGAUUACAGGUGGCAAACUGAAGUGAACUCCACUGAAGAUCUAAGAGGCUGAACUAAAAUAACUGUGGCAAGCAUCACAGGUGUGGAUUGAGCAGAACUUUUUGAAAGGGCUAUCUUGAAGAUGGCAACUAUGGAGGAGCUAUGGUGACUGGCAGUGCAAAGAAUCAGGAAGUGUGAAAAUUGUUAAAAAUUUAUUGACUUAAAUAACUUGCCCUAUGUUAUGAAUAAAAAGAAACCUUUGUGCAGAAAGUCAGCAUAUAUUUCUGGCUCGAAGCUUCUCUAAUGUUUUCUGUGGAGGAAAUAAUAUCAGUUAUUAAUAUCAGGCUCUGAAUGUGCCUUAGACAUGAAAAGUUGGGGUUAUGUAUGGGAUGCUGCUUACCUUAUGAAAUUCUUUUGUCCUUGCUCUGUUUUGGGCAUGUGCAUCUUGUUUUGCUCUAAUCUGUAAGAAAUUUGUAUGGAAU
Molecule: RNA transcript, 1748 nt
Organism: Budorcas taxicolor (takin)
Lineage: Eukaryota; Metazoa; Chordata; Mammalia; Artiodactyla; Bovidae
Gene: TAF1D
Gene name: TATA-box binding protein associated factor, RNA polymerase I subunit D
Exons: 14
Source: RefSeq, a predicted model, not a curated record